This 774-nucleotide ribosomal RNA is filed under the name uncultured Neocallimastigales. RNAcentral's name for it is "partial large subunit ribosomal RNA". The stretch from base 3 to 693 matches the Rfam family "Eukaryotic large subunit ribosomal RNA", at positions 24 to 664 of the family's 3401-position model. The record is from RNAcentral. Lineage: Eukaryota; Fungi; Neocallimastigomycota; Neocallimastigomycetes; Neocallimastigales.
UAGAUGCGAGAGUAGAGCAUAUCAAUAAGCGGAGGAAAAGAAACUAACAAGGAUUCCCUUAGUAACGGCGAGUGAAGCGGGAAGAGCUCAAAUUUGAAAUCUUCAAGGUUCUACCUUGACGAAUUGUAGUUUAAAGAAGUGUUUUCUGUUGGAGUUUUGGUAAAAGUUCUUUGGAAUAGGACAUCAUAGAGGGUGAGAAUCCCGUAUUUGACCAUUAUUUCCAGCUGUGUGAUACACUUUCAAAGAGUCGGAUUGUUUGGGAAUGCAGUCCAAGAUGGGUGGUAAAUUUCAUCUAAAGCUAAAUAUUGGCGAGAGACCGAUAGCGAACAAGUACCGUGAGGGAAAGAUGAAAAGAACUUUGAAAAGAGAGUUAAACAGUACGUGAAAUUGUCAAAAGGGAAGCGUUUGACACCAGUGUUGUUUUCUCGAAAAUCAAUUAAAAAUGAUGGGAUUUUGUGUUGUAUUGACUUUAUCAGCUUUCUGCACUUUUUUCUUAUCUUUUUUAAUGCACUUUUCGUUUAACAAGUCAACAUCAAUUUCUUUUGUUGUAAAAGAGUCAUUGGAAGGUGGCUUUUUCUUCGGAAAAAGUGUUUAUAGCCUUUGGCUUCUGCAAUCGGAGAGAUUGAGGUCUGCAGCGUAGAUCCUUCGGGGUUAGAUACAUUUGUGCUAAGCUAUAGUUCUUUAUAGACAACUUGUUGACUAUAAUCAAUCCUGUAACUUACUCGCUUAUGCUAUUUUACCUACGCUUAGGAUGUUGACGCGCGUGUGUGCGUG